CCUACGGGAGGCUGCAGUGGGGAAUAUUGCACAAUGGGAGGAACCCUGAUGCAGCGACGCCGCGUGGGUGAAGAAGUACUUCGGUACGUAAAGCCCUAUCAGCCGGAAAGAAAAUGACGGUACCUGACUAAGAAGCCCCGUCUAAAUACGUGCCAGCAGCCGCGGUAAUACGUCGGGGGCCGGCGUUAUCCGGAUUUACUGGGUGUAAAGGGGGCUUAGACGGCGGUGCAAGUCCGGAGUGAAAGCCCUGGGCGCAACCCUGGGACUGCUCUGGAAACUGGAAAGCUGGAGUGGGGGAGGGGCAGGCGGAAUUCCUGGUGUAGCGGUGAAAUGCGUAGAUAUCAGGAGGAACACCGGCGGCGAAGGCGGCCUGCUGGACCGUAACUGACGUUGAGGCUCGAAAGCGUGGGGAGCAAACAGGAUUAGAUACCCUUGUAGUC
This 440-nucleotide ribosomal RNA is filed under the name uncultured bacterium. RNAcentral's name for it is "partial 16S ribosomal RNA". It matches the Rfam family "Bacterial small subunit ribosomal RNA", at positions 338 to 795 of the family's 1533-position model. The record is from RNAcentral.